Antechinus flavipes (yellow-footed antechinus) is the source of this 2239-nucleotide long non-coding RNA. RefSeq lists it as uncharacterized. NCBI's taxonomy places the organism in Eukaryota, Metazoa, Chordata, Mammalia, Dasyuromorphia, Dasyuridae. The transcript is spliced from 2 exons. The record is from RefSeq and is a predicted model, not a curated record.
UCUGUUCCGAUUUUUUUCCCCUCCCUCCCUCCACCCCCUCCCCUAGAUGGCAAGCAGUCCUUUAUAUGUUGGAUAUGUUGCAGUAUAUCCUAGAUACAAUAUAUGUUUGCAGAACCGAACAGUUCUCUUGUUGCACAGGGAGAAUUGGAUUCAGAAGGUAUAAAUAAUCCGGGAAGAAAAACAAAAAUGCAGAUAGUUCACAUUCGUUUCCCAGUGUUCUUUCUUUGGGUGUAGCUGCUUUUGUCCGUCAUUUAUCAAUUGAAACUCAGGUCUCUUUGUCAAAGAAAUCCACUUCCAUCAAAAUAUGUCCUCAUACAAUAUCGUUGUCGAAGUGUAUAAUGAUCUCCUGGUUCUGCUCAUUUCACUUAGCAUCAGUUCAUAUAGGUCUCUCCAAGCCUCUCUGUAUUCAUCCUGCUGGUCAUUUCUUACAGAACAAUAGUAUUCCAUAACAUUCAUAUACCACAAUUUACCCAGCCAUUCUCCAAUUGAUGGGCAUCCAUUCAUUUUCCAGUUUCUAGCCACUACAAACAGGGCUGCUACAAACAUUUUGGCACAUACAGGUCCCUUUCCCUUCUUUAGUAUUUCUUUGGGAUAUAAGCCCAAUAGAAACACUGCUGGAUCAAAGGAUAUGCACAUUUUGAUAAUUUUUUGGGCAUAAUUCCAGAUUGCUCUCCAGAAUGGUUGGAUUCGUUCACAACUCCACCAACAAUGCAUUAGUGUCCCAGUUUUCCCGCAUCCCCUCCAACAUUCAUCAUUAUUUUUUCCUGUCAUCUUAGCCAAUCUGACAGGUGUGUAGUGGUAUCUCAGAGUUGUCUUAAUUUGCAUUUCUCUGAUCAAUAAUGAUUUGGAACACUCUUUCAUAUGAGUGGUAAUAGUUUCAAUCUCAUCCUCUGAAAAUUGUCUGUUCAUAUCCUUUGACCAUUUAUCAAUUGGAGAAUGGCUUGAUUUCUUAUAAAUUUGAGUCAGUUCUCUAUAUAUUUUGGAAAUGAGGCCUUUAUCAGAACCUUUAACUGUGAAAAUGUUUUCCCAGUUUGUUGCUUCCCUUCUAAUCUUGUUUGCAUUAGUUUUAUUUGUACAAAGGCUUUUUAAUUUGAUGUAAUCGAAAUUUUCUAUUCUGUGAUCAGUAAUGGUCUCUAGUUCAUCUUUGGUCACAAAUUUCUUUCUCCUCCACAAGUCUGAGAGAUAAACUAUUCUAUGUUCCUCUAAUUUAUUUAUAAUCUCGUUCUUUAUGCCUAGGUCAUAGACCCAUUUUGAUCUUAUCUUGGUAUAUGGUGUUAUAAGGCAUUGAUUGUAAUUUUGAGAGAUGCAAUUAGGAAAUUAUUGCAGGACUUCAAAAUCCACAGAAAUCAUUGGAUUUCCUGACAUAAGAUUUGUUUUGGACUACCUCUUGACUGCUGAAAGAGGUGUACGUGUGAUUGUUAUUUAGUCUAGGCAAGAGGUGAUAAGAGGAAUAAGGGUGGCGACUGCAUGAACAGAAAGAAUGGGACAUGUGUAAAGACAUUAUGGCUAGAGAAACGAUAAAGUUUGGCAAAUGAUUGGGUAUUUGGGGUGAUCCCAAGAGCGAGAUCCAAAGAAUACCCUUGACAGUAACAGGAAAGUUCAGAAGAAGGGUAAAUUUUGGGGAAGAUGAUGAAUUCCAUUUUGGACACAUUGAGGUGCUUAUAGGAAUUGUUUGAAAUAUUUAAUGCUACCACCUCACACCUCUCAGAUUGGCUAAGAUGACAGGAAAAGAUAAUGACAAAUGUUGUGAUGUAGGAAAACUAAUGCAUUGUUGAUGGAUUUGUGAACUGAUCUAACCAUUCUGGAGAGCAAUUUGCAACUAUGCCCAAAGGACUAUAAAACUGUGCAUACCUUUUGACCCAGCAGUGCCACUACUGGAUCUGUAUCCUAAGGAAAUCAUAAAAGAGGAAAGGACCCACAUGUGCAAAAAUGUAGCAGAAUCGGCAAUACAUUGUACAUAGUAACAGCAAGAUUGUUCAAUGAUCAACUAUGAAAGACUUGACUCUCAACGGUUCAGUAAUCCACGGCAAUCCCAAUAAAUUUAAGAUAGAAAACAUCAUCUGCAUCCAGAAGAAAACUAUGGAGAUUAAAUUUCUCGGUGAACAGAGUGAGAAUCUUGGAGCCCAGCAUUCGUGGUUUAAUGUUGAUAGUAUGGAAGGAUUAUGCCUAUAAGGUGCUGGAAAAGGUAUUUGUAUGUUUGCUCUUAUUAUACUUUUGAAAUAAAAUUUAUUUAUCUGGU